This is a non-coding RNA of Dipodomys ordii (Ord's kangaroo rat), 65 nucleotides long. The record is from Rfam. Lineage: Eukaryota; Metazoa; Chordata; Mammalia; Rodentia; Heteromyidae.
GGUGGCUCAGUGGUAGAGUGUUUGCCUUGCAUGCAUGAGGCCUUGGGUUCGAUUCCUCAGCACCA